Mangifera indica (mango) is the source of this 2209-nucleotide RNA transcript. It is a transcript of the gene named uroporphyrinogen decarboxylase 1, chloroplastic, with no coding region annotated. Lineage: Eukaryota; Viridiplantae; Streptophyta; Magnoliopsida; Sapindales; Anacardiaceae. The record is from RefSeq and is a predicted model, not a curated record. The transcript has 8 exons.
UUUGAUUACAAACCUAAAGUCAGCCUUCUGAUCAGAACCCUGAACUAAAACAUAGAGAAGAAAAAGAUAAGAAAACAGAGCAGUACAAAAAACCCCAUAGCCUCUAACAACUCAACAAAUCUCUUCACUGGAGAAUGAGCUUCUCUUCUUUAACCAGUGCGUGCAGUGUCUUAGGAAGCUCGUUCGUUCAGCUAGGGUUUCAUUCUAAUUCUUUAAAUGGGAUUCUAUUUUCUUCUUCUAAGAAGACAAAAUUUGCUGUGAAGAAACUAACUGUGUCAUGCUCUUCUUCUGAUCCGCUGUUGGUUAAGGCUGCAAAAGGACAUCUUGUAAGUCGACCUCCAGCAUGGAUGAUGCGCCAAGCAGGAAGGUAUAUGGCUGUUUAUAGAAAGCUUGCAGAACAACACCCAUCCUUCAGAGAGAGGUCAGAGACGACUGAUCUCAUUGUGCAAAUUUCUUUGCAGCCUUGGGAAGCUUUCCGUCCAGAUGGGGUUAUCAUAUUCUCUGACAUUCUUACUCCUCUACCUGCAUUUGGUGUCCCAUUUGACAUAGAUGAAAUGAAAGGACCUGUUAUUCAAUCACCAAUUUGUUUGGAGGAGGACUUAAAGGCAUUACAUCCCCUUGACUUGGAGAAACUUCAAUUUGUGGGGGAAUCCUUGAAGAUUUUGCGCAAGGAGGUCGGUGAUUAUGCUGCAGUUUUGGGUUUUGUCGGAGCACCUUGGACAAUUGCUACAUAUAUCAUUGAAGGGGGCACAACUCGCACAUAUACCACCAUAAAGAGUAUGUGCCAUACAGCACCACAUAUAUUAAGGGCUCUUCUCUCUCAUUUAACAAAAGCAAUAUCUGAAUACAUUAUCUUUCAAGUGGAGUCUGGGGCUCACUGCAUACAAAUAUUUGAUUCAUGGGGUGGACAACUACCUCCACAUAUGUGGGAACUCUGGUCUGAGCCUUAUAUUAAAGAGAUUGUCAAUUUAGUGAGGACUAAAUGCCCUGACACACCACUUGUGCUGUACAUUAAUGGAAAUGGUGGCCUCCUUGAGCAGAUGAAAGGAACUGGUGUUGAUGUGAUUGGGCUUGACUGGACAGUUGACAUGGCAGACGGGAGGAAACAAUUGGGUAAUGACAUCAGUGUUCAGGGAAAUGUUGACCCUGCUUUCUUAUUCGCUCCUUUACCUGCAUUGACAGAUGAAAUUCAAAGGGUUGUCAAGUGUGCAGGACCAAAGGGGCACAUCCUUAAUCUAGGGCAUGGAGUUCUGGUUGGGACACCUGAAGAAGCUGUUGCACAUUUCUUUGAGGUUGUGAAAAGCUUGAAGUAUGAUUCUUCGUCUCAAAGUCGUAUGCUGGAGGAAUCUAAAUCGGUAGUCUGACAAUAUACCUAUCUUCAAGCAUAAGCCAGCAGUUUUGUUUACAUGAUGGCUGUUCAUUAUGAAGUUACACCCUGUUCCUUCCUGAUGACCACUUGAUACUGUUUAACUUGCCCUUUCCUGAGAGUGUAUGAAGGGCUUUUUAAUGUUUAUCAACAAAUUAUUUGAGUAAUUUUCCGGUUGAACUGUUUCUCUACAUGGGCUAGUAAUCAAGCCUUUUUAGCCACCUUGAUUUGCGAUUGGUUCAUUAGUCUGGCUAAUUGAAAUGUAGCAUUCCUUCGAUUGAUUGAAGAAAUCAGCGUAACAAUAUUUACGAGAAAUGUUAUCAACAUAUUGUUGACAAUGGGUGAAACACUUUCCUUGAUGGUAACUGUUUCUUAAAUAUAUUUGUUUAUUUAUUUUUUAUUAGUUGUUUUGUGCUUAAAAAAAAAAAGCAUCUGAGUAAAACAGGUCUUGUUGUUUCCAUGCAUACUCCCAUGGUCAAGGACAGAUCAGAAUGGUUGUGUGUGCACACAAACUUAUGCAAUUCAUACUCAGUAUAACAGAGAGUUAUGUGAAUGUGGUGAUGGAGGAACCACCCUUUUAAUGUAGACUACUGGACUUCAUGUUCUCCUCUUGCUGGUUAGACGGGAUGAACACUCCAUAUUUGCUAAAUCGAUCUACAACGGCCAGCCAUAAUGUUGUUGUAUCCCUCAGACUUUGGCAAUGGUGGGUGUAGGAUAUGAUAUGAUUGGUCUCAUUGAAAUUUAUGGGGUGCUGGUGUAAUUUUUAUCACAAUAUAUGUGGGAGAGAUAGCAAACAAUAUAGCAAUAUACUCAUAUAGAAAAUUAAAAUACAUUUUCAGUUCA